ACUGCGAGUGAAGCGGGAAAAGCUCAAAUUUAAAAUCUGGCGGUCUUUGGCUGUCCGAGUUGUAAUCUAGAGAAGUGCUAUCCGCGCUGGACCGUGUACAAGUCUCCUGGAACGGAGCGUCAUAGAGGGUGAGAAUCCCGUCUUUGACACGGACUACCAGGGCUUUGUGAUGUGCUCUCAAAGAGUCGAGUUGUUUGGGAAUGCAGCUCUAAAUGGGUGGUAAAUUCCAUCUAAAGCUAAAUAUUGGCGAGAGACCGAUAGCGAACAAGUACCGUGAGGGAAAGAUGAAAAGAACUUUGGAAAGAGAGUUAAACAGUACGUGAAAUUGUUGAAAGGGAAACGCUUGAAGUCAGUCGCGUUGGCUGGGGAUCAACCUUGCUCUUUUGCUUGGCGUACUUUCCAGUUGACGGGUCAGCAUCAAUUUUGACCAGUGGAUAAAGGUCAGGGGAAUGUGGCAUCUUCGGAUGUGUUAUAGCCCUUGGUUGCAUACAUUGGUUGGGAUUGAGGAACUCAGCACGCCGCAAGGCCGGGUCUUUGACCACGUACGUGCUUAGGAUGCUGGCAUAAUGGCUUUAAUCGACCCGUCUUGAAACACGGACCAAGGAGUCUAACAUGCCCGCGAGUGUUUGGGUGGAAAACCCGGACGCGUAAUGAAAGUGAAAGUUGAGAUCCCUGUCGUGGGGAGCAUCGACGCCCGGACCAGACCUUUUGUGACGGUCCCGCGGUAGAGCGUGUAUGUUGGGACCCGAAAGAUGGUGAACUAUGCCUGAAUAGGGUGAAGCC
RNAcentral lists this ribosomal RNA (783 nucleotides) under Collybia sordida. RNAcentral describes it as "eukaryotic LSU rRNA". It matches the Rfam family "Eukaryotic large subunit ribosomal RNA", at positions 86 to 853 of the family's 3401-position model. The record is from RNAcentral. Lineage: Eukaryota; Fungi; Basidiomycota; Agaricomycetes; Agaricales; Clitocybaceae.